GAUGAACGCUGGCGGCGUGCCUAAUACAUGCAAGUCGAGCGAACGGACGAGAAGCUUGCUUCUCUGAUGUUAGCGGCGGACGGGUGAGUAACACGUGGAUAACCUACCUAUAAGACUGGGAUAACUUCGGGAAACCGUAGCUAAUACCGGAUAAUAUUUUGAACCGCAUGGUUCAAAAGUGAAAGACGGUCUUGCUGUCACUUAUAGAUGGAUCCGCGCUGCAUUAGCUAGUUGGUAAAGUAACGGCCUACCAAGGCAACGAUGCAUAGCCGACCUGAGAGGGUGAUCGGUCACACUGGAACUGAGACACGGUCCAGACUCCUACGGGAGGCAGCAGUAGGGAAUCUUCCGCAAUGGGCGAAAGCCUGACGGAGCAACGCCGCGUGAGUGAUGAAGGUCUUCGGAUCGUAAAACUCUGUUAUUAGGGAAGAACAUAUGUGUAAGUAACUGUGCACAUCUUGACGGUACCUAAUCAGAAAGCCACGGCUAACUACGUG
This 497-nucleotide ribosomal RNA is filed under the name uncultured bacterium. RNAcentral describes it as "partial 16S ribosomal RNA". It matches the Rfam family "Bacterial small subunit ribosomal RNA", at positions 28 to 507 of the family's 1533-position model. The record is from RNAcentral.